GAAAUGCGAUAAGUAGUGUGAAUUGCAGAAUUCAGUGAAUCAUCGAAUCUUUGAACGCACAUUGCGCCCCUUGGUAUUCCAUGGGGCAUGCCUGUUCGAGCGUCAUUUUUACCUUCAAGCUUUGCUUGGUGUUGGGUGUUUGUCUCGCCUCUGCGUGUAGACUCGCCUCAAAACAAUUGGCAGCCGGCGUAUUGAUUUCGGAGCGCAGUACAUCUCGCGCUUUGCACUCAUAACGACGACGUCCAAAAGUACAUUUUUACACUCUUGACCUCGGAUCAGGUAGGGAUACCCGCUGAACUUAAGC
This 304-nucleotide unclassified non-coding RNA is filed under the name plant metagenome. Its description in RNAcentral is "partial contains 5.8S ribosomal RNA, internal transcribed spacer 2, and large subunit ribosomal RNA". The stretch from base 1 to 105 matches the Rfam family "5.8S ribosomal RNA", at positions 50 to 154 of the family's 154-position model. The record is from RNAcentral.